RNAcentral lists this ribosomal RNA (374 nucleotides) under uncultured bacterium. RNAcentral's name for it is "bacterial SSU rRNA". It matches the Rfam family "Bacterial small subunit ribosomal RNA", at positions 30 to 416 of the family's 1533-position model. The record is from RNAcentral.
AUUGAACGCUGGCGGCAGGCCUAACACAUGCAAGUCGAGCGGGGUUUUCGGACCUAGCGGCGGACGGGUGAGUAAUGCGUAGGAAGCUACCCGACAGAGGGGGAUACCAGUUGGAAACGACUGUUAAUACCGCAUAAUGUCUACGGACCAAAGUGUGGGACCUUCGGGCCACAUGCUGUCGGAUGCGCCUACGUGGGAUUAGCUAGUUGGUGAGGUAAUGGCUCACCAAGGCGACGAUCCCUAGCUGGUUUGAGAGGAUGACCAGCCACACUGGGACUGAGACACGGCCCAGACUCCUACGGGAGGCAGCAGUGGGGAAUUUUGGACAAUGGGCGCAAGCCUGAUCCAGCAAUGCCGCGUGCAGGAUGAAGGCC